This 199-nucleotide unclassified non-coding RNA is filed under the name plant metagenome. RNAcentral's name for it is "partial contains small subunit ribosomal RNA and internal transcribed spacer 1". The stretch from base 1 to 46 matches the Rfam family "Eukaryotic small subunit ribosomal RNA", at positions 1786 to 1831 of the family's 1831-position model. The record is from RNAcentral.
AAGUCGUAACAAGGUCUCCGUAGGUGAACCUGCGGAGGGAUCAUUACUGAGCGAGGGCCUCUGGUCCGACCUCCAACCCUUUGUAAUACAGACCGCGUUGCCUCGAGGGCGACCCGGACGCUCCGGCGUCGGGCCCCUCGGUGGACCCCAUUCAAACACUGCAUCUUUGCGUCGGUUUUACAAGUUUAAAUUAUUAAAA